UCCUGACGUCAUAUUCAACUUCCACCAUCCUCUCCCCUAGCCCCUGGCGCCACCUAGGAAAAACGGAGGAGCAUUUUGGCCACCCAUGGACUUUGGAGGUCUAAGAUCACGUCGUGGUCGUCGUUGUCGUCGGAUGGACACCUCUCCUGAAGAACUUUGGAUGACAGCCAGCUGUCGGAGGAUACCAACAGGCUCCAGUGGCCCCGCCCCCGCCAUUACAUUUAAUCAAAAGUGUAUUCAAAAUAUGAUUCUGGGGGAUUAUAGUGCAGAUUUGCGGGAGGCGCUCAGCGUAGGCAGAGGUAGUGGGAACAGAUUGUGGCUGGGAGCCUGAGGAUGGGAUAAUCGCGGGCUCAGACGUGCCAUUCUCAGGCCUUGGGGUCACCAUUAGCUUUGGAGGAGACCUUGAGCAUCAGAAGGAGGCCUAACGAACCUCAUCCCAGCCCGGCCCUUUUCCCAGCAUCCACUGUACCGAGAUGGAGAUAAAGACCUGUUCUGACCUUGGAGUUAGCAGGCUCUCUCUUAUGCGCAGUUUGGGCUUCCUAAUGAUGACUCGGUGAGAAAAGGCCCCUCCACCCUCCUCUAACGGUCUAGAUCCAACAAGAAGUAUUAGCAGCCUCCCCUGCAGCCUCCUAGGGAGGGGUGCAGUGUCUACCUGGACCGAGGAGGGGGUAUGGUGGAGAGUGCCUUGAAAGAAACCUUCAGCUAAUGCUCUUUAUUACAAGCGUUAAUCCUGCAAAGCCGACUGGAAAUAAUGUUUAUCUUUUCGCAGUUUAAUUUUCCGGACCCUAAGCCUCAGGUAGAUGAGUGGUCCAGCCCUGGAGACUGCCUUCAGAGUGACUUUCUCCAAUUCAUACCAACUCUCCCUGUUAACCACCAUGACUUCCCAGACUCCCUCCAGGCCUCUGCCUGUCUCAUUGCCUAGAACUGAGGUCUGCAGCCCAAGACCCC
Molecule: long non-coding RNA, 948 nt
Filed under: Mus musculus (house mouse)
Lineage: Eukaryota; Metazoa; Chordata; Mammalia; Rodentia; Muridae
Description: predicted gene 45505
Source: RNAcentral